Long non-coding RNA from Thrips palmi, 4522 nucleotides. RefSeq lists it as uncharacterized. The record is from RefSeq and is a predicted model, not a curated record. The transcript has 8 exons. Lineage: Eukaryota; Metazoa; Arthropoda; Insecta; Thysanoptera; Thripidae.
AUCUCAUAGCUAAUAGUGACUUGACGUCGAUGGAGAAUUUCAUGUCAAAGCUAACUGUAGAUUAAUGAAAAUGAAUUUUCCUGUGAGGUUUUGGACCUUCUUGGUUAGAGGUCUGUUCAGGGAACUGUUUUUCUUGGUAUCAAGGGACUUCUUAAAUCCGUAUUUUGGUCUCUGAUUAUUCUGCCAAUGACACGUACACAGUUCUGGUGUUCGGCAAUGGCUGGAUUUGUUGACAACCAUACUGAAUGGUUCAGGUUUAGUGGCUGUGUUGUUGGACUGGCUUUGGUUCGUCAACACCUGUGAGUGCUGUUUUCACACGCCUUUUUUAGAAAGCACGUCUGAGAUUUAUCUUGUCGUGACGUGGUGCCGCUGAGAGUUCCAUCAAAGCUCUUCAAGGAUUAAUGAUUAUUGAACUUCUUUCGAGGUUUUGGACCUCACAUUUGCUGUGACCAUAGGGCAUAUUCCGACAGGUAAAGAGAGCUUAAACCUGGAGGUCGGAAUAUGAAUGAUAGUGAUGCUAAUAAAAAGGACUAUUUGAGGAAAGUUGUGCGUUAAAGGCUGGAACUCAUUUAAAGGAUUGUAUGAAGUUGUUAUCUUUGUCUCGUGUUUGUAUUCGAGAACUUAAGCUAUUGAUCUGACAACGCUGAAAUAGAUUUUAGCUGACUAGUGGAAAAAUACUGAAAAUGGAACUGGUUUCCAUGACAUUAAUCAUGUUAUGCAGUAGUUUUGGUCUAUGCUUAAGCAUUUGGGCAUUUAACAAAGACAAAUGCUAUUACAGUUUGUGACUGAGACAUCCAGUACCCCAUAUGAAGGGUGUGCAGCUUUUCAAGGUUCCACUGGCCCAAAAAUAAUUUGGACAGAGAAGUGGGGAAAGCCCCAUAGCUUGCCAAGAUGCCGAAGCCUAUUCUUAAAGAUCCUGGCAGUUAUUAGUUGCAUUUAGUUAAAUUCCGAGGUGGAGUCUAAGUUCAACAACUAUUCCACAGGCUAACUGUUAUACUUUCUUACUAUGGCAAACAGCAAGUUUUCUUCAGCUGGCAGCAGCCUAAAGACCGCCUAAAUGCUCAAAGACGAUAGAAUAACUGAUUCAUUAGGACAGGAGGCUUUGCCAAUUGAACUAAACGGCAUGCACAGAUUAUGAUGGGUAAUUAUGUGCAAGUAUUCACCAUAUCAAUCAGGUGCCAUGCUGGUCAGCACACACACUUCAGUGAACGCUGUACUUCAGAGUCGAAGCAGUGAGAUGCAGCAUCCAAGAUUGGAGUCCUGGCUGCUUCAAUCUAAUCUGCGAAGAGAGUGGUGGACGCAUCACAUUGACCAGCUUGUCAAGCCACAUGCUUAACCCGUAAUUGUUCUAUUGUGAGUAAGAAUAUAUCCUAGUACUGUAUAUUCUGAGAGUGGCGGACAAGAGUCAAGUGUCCUUGCCAUAACUGCACUUUUGUGCACUAGAUGACCACGUUAAAUAUUAUGUUAAUCUUGUGAACCAAUUCCAUUAUGAGCUUGUGCUUCAUUAUUGUGCUUGGCUAGAGCUGCCUUCAACACUGGCUCUUGUCUAUGAUUGACAAUGGCUUUUUGACUAGGUUUUUAAUUUGUAGAGCAGUUGCUAACGAAUAGGUCUUCAAAUUCUCAAAGGUAACUUGCCCAAAAUUUCUUUCGGAUCAGUCUUUACUGGAAAACCCCAACUCGAAUUUUGUUGUUUAUUUGUUGUAUACAGUGAACCAUAUUCAAACAGAGUCUCAAAUUUAUAGUUUAAAUUGAUGGUUCGUCCGGUUGUCCUCUUGAUCUGCUGAUGUUUAGCAGAGCGGCAGGUUCAUUUUGUGACACUAUUUCCACCCAAUGUGAGCAUACGGAGAAUUCACAUCAGUCCAUUUUCCUUUCUAUCAUUCGAAACCCUUAAGAACAGUCCACUAUUCAUGUCUUGUUUCUUAGUGCCCAUUCCGACAGUGUUCAAGCCUUUCUUAAUUUGUCUCUUUGAAAGAGAAGCACCUUGGUUGUUCAGCCCUUCAAUUUUAGGAUAGAUGGAGUUUUGUUGAUUCGCUUGUCUUAAACUUAAUGAUAGUAUCCGUGUGAAAGGGCGCCAUUUCUCAUGGAUACUCUUGACAAAUUUUUUGGAAGAACAUGAAGCUGUGUUGGAAUGAAUGUAUGUAUGUGCUAGUCUGAUUACAAGUAUGUAUGAUAACAUGUGUGAGAGAUUUGGUGGUGGUAUUAGUCACGCAGCUUGGGGCCCCCUGUGUUUAGAUAGUGGCAUUGAGUAGUUUUUUGUGUGCUUCAAUGUUCUUCCAAAAAUUUGUUUGAAAACAGCGAGUUGAAGUAGGAGUUAGACAGGCGCGGAUUAAGUGGAGGGGAAUGGGACUAGUUGCCCCUCCCUUAGGUACUAGAAAGGCCGCCCGGAAGAUAGGCAACAAGCGCUAUGUAGCCCCUGUAUGCAGGCAACAAGCACUACUUCACCCCCGCCUUAGGAAAAUCCUGGACCCGCGCCUGGAGUUAGGAGAUUAUCCAGAUCGUGCAAUUGCCAAUUUGGGCUAUCUAUUUUGCAAUGAUGGUAUUUGAGCCUCCAUCUGUUGAUUUGGAAGGACAAUUCAGCCGAGUAUUUGAGUGAACGCACAGACUUGGUGGCUGCCUCUCAAGCCUCCAUUGGUCAAGCGCCAACAUGUGGCCAGUGUAUGCGGCACUCUCACUGUGUUUGUGCCUUUAAACCUGUGUUACUGAGAGUAACAUUUUGAAGUUGCUUGCACUCACUGCAUUGACCAAGCGCCAACAUGUGGCAAAUGAAUGUGGCACUCUCCUUGCAUUAGCGGUUUAAACCUGUGUUACUGAGAGUAGCAUUUUGUAGCCGGUGCUUCUCCCUACCGUUUUUAUGUUAUGUAUCUUGACAUGGGCUGAACACCUCUUUCUAGUUCUAUUGAUCACCUUCUACCAUUGUCACGCUCACUUUCAAGUCACUGUGUCAUAGAAUCCCAUGAUUCAUUCACAUUUACCCCUUCUGCCUGUGUCUGCAUCCCCUUUCAUGAGGAAGCGUAAUUCAGUGUCAUUUUCUUAAUAUUUGGCCCUGCCAAUGGAACAGUAGGAACAAGCCCCCCCCCCCCCGAUGAGUUAUGAAUUCCAACUCUGUUUGUUUAUGAUGCAUUACUCCUUUUUUUUCUUCUUGUGCUUUGUUACGUCACGUGCUGGUGGUUUUUAACUCAGAGCAGGCACAUGUAUGCUUAGUUUUCUUGAAGUUAAAUGUGCCUCUGUGUUUCAAAUGUAAAUUCUGAUCUGGAGGAUAUAAACGGGCAAGCAUUGAAUACAGUACUAAACAAUGUUCUUAAAGCCAGUUAGAUGAGCCUUUGUUAAAGCUUCUCUUCCAUUCACUUUGAUGCUAGUGAUUGUCAACUGCUCAUACUUCUUGAAAGGUAGUUUCAUUUUAUUUUGAAAUGUUAUGUGCGCAAGUCAGACAGGAAUGUUGCAGUGUAUGUUUAGCCUGUACUCUUACAAUGUUAGUUCUUCUUUAAUUAUUAAUGAUGCUGCGUUGUUGUUUUGAAUGAUAUUUUGAACUUUUGUCUAUUAUGUUCAAGAAUUGCUUCGUUGAGGAUGAAUAGAAAUGUUAAAGCUAAGGUCUUUUCUAAUUAUGUUUUUACGUCCAUGGGGCUUUAAAGAGCUGAACUUGGCUGCAUCACAGGCGGCGCAGAUGCUCAGGUUCCUGAAACUUUAAUUUGUAUCAGAAUUUUGAUUGUGCAUUCCUAUCCUAGGCAUGUUGGUGUGCAAGCAUUCAGCAAACUAGGAAUAUUUUAUAAGCCAAUUAUAUAAGCCCCUGUUUAAGCCUCCCUUAGUUGUAAGUGUGAACUCUUCAUGGUUCUUCUUAGGAAGUUCUAUUUUAUUUAGGAAAGCUUCAUGCAUAAGUUGGACAGGACUGGAUUUAAGUGAAUGUUGAUGGGCCUGCACUCCUACAAUAUCAGUUGUUAGUCAAUUGUGUUGGUGUAUUGCUCUUUGAGUGAAAUUUUUCCUCAUUCCUGAAGUUUCUUGAUGAGUUUUUUUCAAUUCAGAAAUAUGUUUUUGACAAUCAUGUCUCUUAUCUGUAUCACUUCUUCUACUUCUUUUGCCUUUAAAUGUUCAUGUAUUCUUCAUAUUUUUAAACUUUGGAUCCUGUUUGUAUUUUGUCUACUGUUACAUCUGUCACUAGAAGGCUGUUUUCAUCUGUAUAACAGUGCAUUUGCUUAUUCCUUUCAUAGUUGAUUUGUUGAGCUUCUUGUUGUGUUGUUUGAGUUGUGUAUUAUCUAAGUUAGGAUUUGUAUUUUAAUCUGAUGGUCGUGGACAUUAAGCAUGAGCAUUAUUGUUACAAUGUAAUAUCUUUUUUCAUUAAGAUCGAAUGGUGUAUAACUGAUACAAAAUGGGCAAAAAGAAAUAGAAAUAUUGUUUCUCAAAAUAUGUUACCGUAACAAAAAAAAUUGUCAAAUUAAAAAAAAUGUUAAGAGAGAACUUAAAAAAAAUAAAAAAAGCCAAAUGUUAAAAGAGAACUUAAAAAAAAAUGAAAAAAAGCCAAAUGUUAAAA